Molecule: ribosomal RNA, 429 nt
Filed under: Chloroflexota bacterium
Lineage: Bacteria; Bacillati; Chloroflexota
Description: Chloroflexi bacterium partial 16S ribosomal RNA
Rfam family: Bacterial small subunit ribosomal RNA
Source: RNAcentral
UGGGGAAUAUUGCACAAUGGGCGCAAGCCUGAUGCAGCCAUGCCGCGUGUGUGAAGAAGGCCUUCGGGUUGUAAAGCACUUUCAGCGGGGAGGAAGGCGUUAAGGUUAAUAACCUUGGCGAUUGACGUUACCCGCAGAAGAAGCACCGGCUAACUCCGUGCCAGCAGCCGCGGUAAUACGGAGGGUGCAAGCGUUAAUCGGAAUUACUGGGCGUAAAGCGCACGCAGGCGGUCUGUCAAGUCGGAUGUGAAAUCCCCGGGCUCAACCUGGGAACUGCAUUCGAAACUGGCAGGCUAGAGUCUUGUAGAGGGGGGUAGAAUUCCAGGUGUAGCGAUGAAAUGCGUAGAGAUGUGGAGGAAUACCGGUGGCGAAGGCGGCCCCCUGGACAAAGACUGACGCUCAGGUGCGAAAGCGUGGGGAGCAAACAGG